RNAcentral lists this long non-coding RNA (879 nucleotides) under Anolis carolinensis (green anole). RNAcentral's name for it is "lncRNA (ENSACAG00000034598.1)". The record is from RNAcentral. Lineage: Eukaryota; Metazoa; Chordata; Lepidosauria; Squamata; Anolidae.
AGAACCUGAGCGAUUGUUGUGGAUGUCUCCAGGAGAACAUCUGAUGCGUUAGACAAAAGUUCAACAGCUGACAAGCCCGCUCCACCCCACACACUGUAUGUAGCAAAGAAAGCCAUCAAACUUCGUCUUCUUCAUAAGCUUUGCUUUUCGUGCAGAAGGAAAGUGAGAUGUCAACAGAAGACAGAUCUGUAGAAAUAAAAGUCCCCGACUUUAAUCUGUGUUCAACUUGGACUUCUAUGUGUGUCUGGACACAGUAUUCCAGGUCUCCCAACAGAAAUGAUCUUCUGACAGUCCUCUUGCAAGGACAAGAAAGAUCCACCAUCAUCAGAGUCAGCCUUUUUAUCCUGAAAGCUAUCAAGAAAAGAGCACAUUUCCUGAAAGAAGAAUCAGGAAAAUAAGAUUUUGUCGGCAAACAGAAGGUCAGCUGCCUGUCCUCCCAUCCUUUUUGCCUUGUUUUUAUUUAUGUUGCACUUUGAAAUGGUCAUAUGACUGGUCAAACAAAUAAAUUAUUAUUAUUAUUACAUUAAAAGGAAAAGAUGUUUGAGCCAUAAUAUGCACCAACUCCCUCAAUGAAGUAUUGUCAUUCUUGGAAUAAUGAUUCAACCUUCACUAAACCUGUUGAGUUUCUAUUUUGGGGUUGUUUGGAUAUAUUUUUGGUGUGUGUGUAUGGGAGAUAAUAUCUUAUUUUCACCUCGUUUUCGAAGCAUAAGUACUGAAUCCUGCUUUGUUAAACCUUCUUAUGGAUAGAGAUAGAUAGAGAGAGAGGGAAAGGCAGAGAAAAUGCAAGCCAGGAGGGAUCUCUUUGGGAUAAUGCCGGAUUCUGCGCCUGUUGUUGGUCAAUAAGCCCAGCCCUCCAUCUUGCAAGGCUCGAACAAUGGC